GUGCUUACUUCAGCAGCACAGAUAAUAAAAAUGUAACUACACAGAGAUUGGCAUGGCCCCUGUGCAAGGAAAACCCACAAAUUCAUAGAGCAUGCCAUGUUAAA
Molecule: small nuclear RNA, 104 nt
Organism: Trichosurus vulpecula (common brushtail)
Lineage: Eukaryota; Metazoa; Chordata; Mammalia; Diprotodontia; Phalangeridae
Source: RefSeq, a predicted model, not a curated record